CUAAGGUAGCAUAAUCAUUUGUUAUUUAAUUGGUGGCUGGAAUGAAUGGUUAAACUAGCUUAUUAAGUUUGUGUAGCUAGAUAGUAGAUUAAAGUUAAGGUAAGAAUUCUUUAAUUUUCUAGGGGACGAUAAGACCCUAGAAGCUUAACUAACGUAGUGGUUUGUUUUAUAAGUUUGUUUGUUUUACUGGGGCGGUAAAAAUAAUUAAGCUUUUUAAGGAUCCUUAAAAUAAAGAGAGAAUGGAGAAGUUACUCUAGGGGUAA
Molecule: ribosomal RNA, 263 nt
Filed under: Gammarus balcanicus
Lineage: Eukaryota; Metazoa; Arthropoda; Malacostraca; Amphipoda; Gammaridae
Description: partial 16S ribosomal RNA
Source: RNAcentral